GGGCGUGUAGCUCAGCUUGGAUAGAGCGACAGAAUGUUCUGAAAACAUCCGCUAGAGCCUUCUAAGCUGAAGGUCCGGAGUUCAAAUCUUCGCACGCCCG
RNAcentral lists this transfer RNA (100 nucleotides) under Candidatus Woesearchaeota archaeon. RNAcentral describes it as "tRNA-Arg". It matches the Rfam family "tRNA". From Rfam's summary of the family: Transfer RNA (tRNA) molecules are approximately 80 nucleotides in length. Their secondary structure includes four short double-helical elements and three loops (D, anti-codon, and T loops). The record is from RNAcentral. Lineage: Archaea; Nanobdellati; Candidatus Woesearchaeota.